Molecule: transfer RNA, 67 nt
Filed under: marine eukaryotic metagenome
Rfam family: tRNA
About the family: Transfer RNA (tRNA) molecules are approximately 80 nucleotides in length.
Source: RNAcentral
CGGUUAGCUCAGUUGGUUAGAGCACCUGCUUUACACGCAGGGGGUCAGAGGUUCGAGUCCUCUAUCG